Molecule: non-coding RNA, 146 nt
Organism: Pantoea sp. PSNIH2
Lineage: Bacteria; Pseudomonadati; Pseudomonadota; Gammaproteobacteria; Enterobacterales; Erwiniaceae
Source: Rfam
AUUCUUCCCGCAUGUGUCGCUGACGGUCGUCAGCACCAUGCCCUGGCAGCCCCGGUCCUCAAGGCUGCAACGCGGUUCGCCGCGUUGACCGAUCCAGUCCGCUUCGCACCGACCACCGCGGACGCGCGUCGCCACGACGCGGGUGC